AUGCAUGCAUAAGUUCAGCUUUAUCAAGCGAAACUGCGAAUGGCUCAUUAGAGCAGUUAAUAGCCUUUCCGUUGAUCCCUUGGGAUAACUGCGGAAAUUCUGGAGCUAAUACCAUUAACAAAGCUUGGAAGCAAUUCCAAGUGCAGUUAUUAGCGAAGACCAAUCCUCCUCGGAGGUUUUGUGUUGAAUCUGAGUAAAGUUCGUAUCUCGUCGGUUUAUCCGACGAAUAACGGAAGGCUUUUCUGCCCUAUCAACUAGAUGGCAGUUUAGAGGACUGCCAUGGUUGUAACGGGUACCGGAGAAUCGGGGUUCGACUCCGGAGAGGCAGCCUUAGAAACGGCUACCACAUCCAAGGAAGGCAGCAGGCGCGAAACUUAUCCACUGUUGAAAAUGAGAUAGUGACUAAGAAUAAAAAACCCUACCCUUAGGGGUGGGGUAUUUGAAUGAGUGAAGUUCAAAUAACUUCUCGAGAAACUAAGAGAGGGCAAGUCUGGUGCCAGCAGCCGCGGUAAUUCCAGCUCUCUUAGCGUAAAUCGUUACUGCUGAGGUUAAAAAGCUCGUAGUUGGUUUUAUGUGAGUCAGGCUGGUUCACCUUGUGUGUUACUAGUCAGCUCACAAAUAGUCGGAUGUCCUUCGGGGUGUCUGGCAAGUUUACCUUGAUUAAAUCAAGGUGCUCAGAACAGGCGAUUGCUUGUAUGCGUUAUCAUGGAAUAAUGGAAAAGGACUACGGUCCGUAUCAUUGGUCUUCGGAUUGUGGUAAUGAGUAAUAAAAGCAAACGGGGGCAUACGUAUUCCUGCGGGAGAGGUGAAAUUCUAUGAUCGCAGGAGGACGCCCGAAAGCGAAAGCAUUUGCCAAGAAUGUUUUCAUUAAUCAAGAACGAAAGUCAGAGGAUCGAAGGCGAUUAGAUACCGCCCUAGUUCUGACUGUAAACGAUACCAUCUAGCGAUCCGAUAGGGUGUUAUGCCUUGUCGGGGAGCUUCCCGGAAACGAAAGUCUUUCGGUUCCUGGGGUAGUAUGGUUGCAAAGCUGAAACUUAAAGAAAUUGACGGAAGGGCACCACCAGGAGUGGAGCUUGCGGCUUAAUUUGACUCAACACGGGAAAACUCACCCGGUCCAGACGUUGUUAUGAUUGACAGAUUGAAAGCUCUUUCUCGAUUUAACGGUUGGUGGUGCAUGGCCGUUCUUAGUUGGUGGAGUAAUUUGUCUGGUUUAUUCCGAUAACGAACGAGAUUCAUUCCUGCUAAAUAGAAUACUUGUAGCUUAGCAGGUCAUUCUUCUUAGAGGUAUAAGCGGUGUUUAGCCGCAUGAGAUUGAGCAAUAACAGGUCUGUGAUGCCCUUAGAUGUCUGGGGCUGCACGCGUGCGACAAUGGAAGAGACAACGUGCCUACCAGUACCGAAAGGUAUUGGGAAACCGUUGAAACUUUUUCGUGACUGGGAUAGGGAAUUGUAAUUAUUUCCCUUGAACGAGGAAUUCCUAGUAAGUGCGAGUCAUCAGCUCGCGCUGAUUACGUCCCUGCCCUUUGUACACACCGCCCGUCGCUAUCCGGGACUGAGCUGUUUCGAGAAGAGUGGGGAUCGACUGUUUGGGGCUUCACCGCUCCAUUCAGAUGUAGAACCAUUUUGAUCGCAAUGGCUUGAACCGGGUAAAAGUCGUAACAAGGUACGA
Molecule: ribosomal RNA, 1668 nt
Filed under: Protorhabditis sp. DF5055
Lineage: Eukaryota; Metazoa; Nematoda; Chromadorea; Rhabditida; Rhabditidae
Description: SSU rRNA
Rfam family: Eukaryotic small subunit ribosomal RNA
Source: RNAcentral